This 253-nucleotide ribosomal RNA is filed under the name uncultured bacterium. Its description in RNAcentral is "partial 16S ribosomal RNA". It matches the Rfam family "Bacterial small subunit ribosomal RNA", at positions 524 to 776 of the family's 1533-position model. The record is from RNAcentral.
UACGGAGGGGGCUAGCGUUGUUCGGAAUUACUGGGCGUAAAGCGCGCGUAGGCGGAUCUGCAAGUCGGGGGUGAAAUCCCGAGGCUCAACCUCGGAACUGCCUUCGAUACUGCGGGUCUCGAGUCCGGGAGAGGUGAGUGGAAUUCCUAGUGUAGAGGUGAAAUUCGUAGAUAUUAGGAAGAACACCAGUGGCGAAGGCGGCUCACUGGCCCGGUAUUGACGCUGAGGCGCGAAAGCUAGGGGAGCAAACGGG